Candoia aspera is the source of this 177-nucleotide long non-coding RNA. RefSeq lists it as uncharacterized. NCBI's taxonomy places the organism in Eukaryota, Metazoa, Chordata, Lepidosauria, Squamata, Candoiidae. The transcript is spliced from 2 exons. The record is from RefSeq and is a predicted model, not a curated record.
UCUAUCACCAAACUUCGUGGAGUUCAUCUGGUUCGGAGGUGCAGCAGCAUUCCCAUGACAGCUUAUUUCCAUCACUGGAAGAGGAAUGCCAGGCCUCCAUUCUCUCCUCUCUCCUUACCACUUGGCUGACUCAUAAGUCCUCGGCACAAAAGAGGCAGAAGAAAUAGGAAAGGGAAA